UCGAGAAUCUUCCGCAAUGGGCGAAAGCCUGACGGAGCGACGCCGCGUGCGGGAUGAAGGCCUUCGGGUUGUAAACCGCUGUCAGAGGGGAACAAAUUCAUGGGGGUUCUCCCUGUGAUUGAGUGAUCCUCAGAGGAAGCGCAGGCUAAGUCCGUGCCAGCAGCCGCAGUAACACGGACUGCGCGAACGUUAUUCGGAAUCACUGGGCUUAAAGCGUCCGUAGGCGGCCGUGCAGGUGGGGUGUGAAAUCCCUCGGCUUAACCGAGGAAUGGCGUUCCAAACCACACGGCUUGAGAGAGAGAGAGGUGAGCGGAACGCACGGUGGAGCGGUGAAAUGCGUUGAUAUCGGGAGGAACACCGGUGGCGAAAGCGGCUCACUGGGUCUCUUCUGACGCUGAGGGACGAAAGCUAGGGGAGCGAACG
RNAcentral lists this ribosomal RNA (423 nucleotides) under uncultured prokaryote. Its description in RNAcentral is "bacterial SSU rRNA". It matches the Rfam family "Bacterial small subunit ribosomal RNA", at positions 355 to 774 of the family's 1533-position model. The record is from RNAcentral.